RNAcentral lists this ribosomal RNA (253 nucleotides) under uncultured bacterium. RNAcentral's name for it is "partial 16S ribosomal RNA". It matches the Rfam family "Bacterial small subunit ribosomal RNA", at positions 524 to 776 of the family's 1533-position model. The record is from RNAcentral.
UACGUAGGGGGCAAGCGUUGUCCGGAAUCAUUGGGCGUAAAGCGCGUGUAGGCGGUCCGGUAAGUCCGCUGUGAAAGUCGGGGGCUCAACCCCGGGAGGCGGAUGGAUACUGCUUGGCUCGAGUCCGGAAGAGGCGAGUGGAAUUCCCGGUGUAGCGGUGAAAUGCGCAGAUAUCGGGAGGAACACCAAUGGCGAAGGCAGCUCGCUGGGACGGUACUGACGCUGAGACGCGAAAGCGUGGGGAGCAAACAGG